UUAAGUAUAGUUUAAUUAAAAUAUUAACUUGUCGUGUUAAAGAGAUAUAAAUAUGUUACUUAAU
This 64-nucleotide transfer RNA is filed under the name Scorpiops jendeki. Its description in RNAcentral is "tRNA-Asp". The record is from RNAcentral. Lineage: Eukaryota; Metazoa; Arthropoda; Arachnida; Scorpiones; Euscorpiidae.